AGCAAUUAUGAACCGGAUUGUCCCCCGAGUCUCGAAUUUGUGAAAAUAACUUGAUUGGUUAUAUUACCCUCGCUGCUCGUAUGGCGUUCACCUUCGCUGAGGCCACCGCUCAAGUCCACCAGGGCGUUGGAUCCUUUCUCUCUCACGCCCUCCGGUCGGUGGAGACGGAAGGAUAUAAAAUCUGUAACCCUAGAUUUCGAUUGUUUUCUCGCGAAGAAACCUCGAUGAGAUCUACCUUACAUCGAAGCUAGGAUCGGAUUUCUCCAAGCGUGUGGGAGCUUUUCUUUCCCAAGAUUCAUCCAGCCAAUGGAGCUCCGUCGCCGAUCUAGGGUUUCUGUGGCGUUCUUGAUCUCUCUCCUCCUCGUCCUGAGCUUCGCCGGAGACUUGUGCUUUGCCGAGAACCGUCGGCUGAAGAACGUCCAGGUUUCGCUCCGGGCUAAGUGGACCGGCACUCCGUUGCUGUUGGAAGCCGGGAAGAAGACUUGGGAAUACUUGGGAAAUCUGCUGGUACGAGUGCAAUAGUUAACUUAUGAAAAAGUAGGGGACUAAGAUUUUCUUUUCCCCUUCCUGAACAAAUGAAAUUUCAAAGAAAUCAAAAGUAGGCUUGCCUGAUGGAAUCUGGAUGCUUGCCCUAGCCAAGAACUGGCUGUUGGUGGUAAGUAAAGAGAAUUGCUCUCUGAAGAAUGGAAAACCUGUUUUGGGAGUUUACUGAUCUCUGGCUAGAACCAGAUAAAGGCUCAUAUUGUUUGACAGCCAAAUGCUGCAUUCACAAAAUUGUCCAUGAUGGGCUCUCUCUUCUAAGUGAACCCUUGGGAUCAGUUUUUGAAUUUUCUCUUAUGCUUCGGUCAGUAUCUCCUAGACUAGUGCUCUACCGGCAGUUGGCGGAGGAUUCUUUAUCUUCUUAUCCUUCUGACGACGAAACCAACUCAGAACAUGUUAUGGGAGACUUGUCUGAGCCAAUUUCAAGAGUCAAGGCAGAGCCUUUUCUCAUAAGCAGAAACCUGAGAAGCCCUGAAGGAAGUUGCUUCUGGGUACAUACCGGUAGUGGACUACUGUUCAAUGUUACUGAACUUCUUUCAUGGCUUGACACUUCAGCCAAACUGGAGGUUAUAUGUUUAUUUGGAUUUCUUCAGAGCUGUGGGAUCUGCUGAAUAGGCUGAACUUUUUGAUUUUGAUCACAUAUAUUUUGGUUCAAGUAUUGCCAGUCCAGUUGCUAUUCUAUAUGGAGCUCUUGGACCAGAAUUCUUUAAAGAGUUUCAUGUUACCUUGGUGGAAGCAACAAAAAAAGGUAUUAACUAAUGGCCAUUAUUUAUUUUAUAUGAACAACAGUGAACACAUUCCUGUCUCAGUUAGAAUAAGAUGGCAUAUUGCAAUUAACAAUGUUGGCACAUACACAUUGUUAAGAAAAAACUGCAAAACCAAUCUCUUUCCUUGCAUGAGAUAUGAUCACUCUAUAAAAUUUAAACUCACUGGUUGUUCCAUUGAUGUGUCCUUAACAUGCUCGUUAGUUUUCUACGUCAAAUUUUAAUGAAAUGUAACACAUCUAGUGUUAUCAUGGAAGAUUUACAAUUACUUGAUUAUAUGAAAGUUUUGAUGUUUGUUUGGUUGGAGUGACUGCAUAGGAUGACUAACUCACAGAAAUUUAUGGGAAAUAGAGAGGGAAAGAAGUACUGAUGGGGAAGAGAUAGGGGUGGAGGGAAACUUUUGAUGCAUGUUUGAUCAAGGACAUGAAAUCAAUGUUUGAGCUGAAAUGGGUAGUCAAAGCCUGGACCAAGGAAGCAAGCCAGGCUUCCUGGAUUGGACCAGUGAGGUACCUGUACCUGGGAUGCCCUUGGUACCUGGGUCUUUGUGAAGAAGUUGCAACCUGGUUGGUACGAUUCUAUGCUGACCGGUACCAACUAGGACAGGACCAGCACCAGCUGGUUCUGCCUGUUACUGGGUUGUACUGACUCAAAAUGUUCAUUUUUACUUUCUAUUUGUUCUCCUUUUGUUUACUCAUAGAUAUCAUAUAUCAUGUCUUGCAAUGCCUUUUUAGUAUAAUAAUUACGGCAUUCUAUUAGUUUGAGGCCCAACCUUCAGAUUUGCCAUUAUGUGGACUUGAAACUUAUUUUUUAUUAGUCAUCUCAUUCUUACUAAAUGAAAACAACUUAACAUACAGUUUCCUUUAUUAUGUUGGUAACUUUUUUCAGUUUGUCUGCUCUUAGCCAUUAUAUUUACUCUCUUUCUAGAUUCACUGUCAGAACUUUGCUGCCCUGUUCUUUUUAUUUCUUGUUUAAAUGUGUUUUCUGUUGUUCUUAAGAAAAAAUUAAAUACGUAGUCAGACCUGUGUUGCCUUCUGGAUGUCAAGCAGCGAGCAGCUAUUGUAGUGCUGUUGGUUCUUUGGAUGUAGUAGGGUUGGGUAUGGUGUGGAACUUGCUUUGAAGAGCAUGGAGUACAAAGCUAUGGAUGAUAGCACAGUAAAGAAAGGUCAUUUCAGGACUUUCAGUAAAAUGCUAUAUGCCUAAUUUUCAAAUGCUGGCUUUUUCCUUCCUUAUCAGUGGUAUCCAAAAUUAGCAACAACUGACUUUUUUUAUGACAUUGAAGUUUCAUAGGUUUUUUCUUGUAUAUCUGUUUGCAGACUUGAUGAUAGAUAUACUUUAAUUUGCACUCUUUUAUGCAUCAGUUCAACCUGCUACUCCAACUGAUGUGCCACUUUAGACCAAUCAAUUUUUUUUUGUGGUUAGGCUUUCAUUUGGAUUACAUUUUAGCUGAUGUCGUUGGAUUGCUCACUUCUCGUAUAUGUUGUGCUUAAGUUUUUGGAAAACUCUCAAGAAAUAGUGCCUUGACCUUGUUGCCUAUUACAUUUGUACUCUAUCAUUUCUUUUCUCGCUUUAUUUGGAAUGGUUGUGUUGCUUUUGUUAAAUAUACUUUUUAAUUCACCCAUAAGUCACAGUAGAAUUUUGAUUUCAACGAACUAGCCAAAAUGCUGUACUUCCAUUGAAGUCAUAAUAUAUAUUAUGGAAUAAGUACACUAAUGGGUGUCAAUAUGAAGUGGUGUAUGUGAAGCUUUAAUUCACCAAAGUGAUGGCAAUUUCAGAGAUGACACUAGAAAUUUAAAUGCUGUAGCAUCUCUUAUUAAAAUCUGAUCAUAGUCUAUGUUAAAUUGUUAUUAUUUAAGCCUAAAAGCUGCCAUUAACAAAGCCACAGAAUAAACAAUCUCUAAUUGAAUGGUUUCCCCUAGUUGUUUAAUUCUGUUUUAUGCUGCUUAAAUAUUUUGAAAUGAUCUAAUGGCCUAGAAGUUGCAGGUGUGUAAUCGGUGAUUAACUUUUGAGAAUUAUUUUGCAAAAAAUUAAUUUUAUCUUAUAGAAUGAAGAACAUAUAUUUAGAAUAAUUUUGGAAAUGCCACUUUUACUCUUUAGUUUAUUGCUCAAAAAUUGUUAACAGUCUUGAUUUUUGGUCAGCCAAACACCAUUGAUAGCCCACUGGAACCCGCUGUCUUUGCUGUGACAUUAGGUGAAGCUCUGCCCUGUGGGAAGUGGUAUCUCUAUCACCAGACUGACCGGCUUGAGACUUUGAAUCCUGUGCCUUGCAACUAAUGCAUCUGAAAGAGGUCCAUGCAUGCAUGCAUUAUUUGAUAGGUGUGCUUAUGCCUGCAUGUGGGCCUUUGUGCAUAUGCAGAUAUGUACGUACGUACAUGUGUAUGUAUGUAUCACUGUAUAUAUGUAUGCAUAUGUAUAUGUGUGUAUGUAUGUAUUGUGUAUGGUCCGUAUAGACGACAUGCACAGACGUGGGCCUUAGCACAUGCAUGCACACUCGUUUGACAACACUGGCUAUUAUCAUGCCAACCAUUAAGAAAUGGAGCUUUUUCUUUUGUAUUCUUAUUAUUUUUUUGAAAAUCUUGCUUCCUUUAUGUCUGUAUUGCAGGUGUUACUGUAGAAGAUCCUAGGACUGAGGAUCUCAGUCAAGAAGUUAGAGGAUUUAUAUUUUCCAAAAUCUUGGAACGCAAGCCAGAGGUGACUGCUGAGUAAUGGCUUUCAGGGAUUAUUUAUUAUCAUCAACAAUAUCAGACACGCUGGAAGUUUGGGAAUUGAAGGGUAUUGGUUGUGAUGAUUGGUGCAUGAUAAUAGCUGUAUACAGCAUGUCAUCUGUGCUUGAUGUAGGACAUCAAACAGCACAAAGGAUAGUGCAUGCAUCAGACCCUCUACAGUCAAUGCAAGAAAUCAAUCAAAAUUUUCCUAGUAUAGUUUCUUCAUUAUCUUGCAUGAAGGUACAAGCUUCUGUUAGACACUCGUUAAAUUUGUAGGCAUAUAUGAUAUCUUUGUUAUUUCUGUCAGCUAACAUAUGCUUAAGCUAUAUGCAGCUUAAUGAUUCUGUUAAGGAUGAAAUACAUGUGAAUCAGCAAAUGGUUCCUCUUGGCAAGUCAUUAAUGGUUUUGAAUGGUGCUUUAAUCAAUAUUGAAGAUAUCAAUCUUUACCUAUAAUGUUUUCUUCCUCCACCAUUAGCUCUGAUAUCUCACCUUAUUCUUAGAGAACAAACUGGGUUAUAUCAACUUUGGGAUUUGAGUGGUUGUACUUUAUACCUUGGUUUCUCAUUUUUGUGACCUUUUUUGCAUUUUUGUUAUGCCUUUUUUUGACACUCUUUUGCAUUAAACGCCAGUUGAUUAAAGCUUAUCAAAAUAAAUAAUAUUUUAGUUCUUUACCUACUGGCCCUAACUCUUCUAUUCUGGAGUACCACUUCGGCUCGAUGAUUCUAUACUUAUAAGAUGUCAUAUGACAAAUAAUCAGUCAAAAUAUUGUCUUUUUGUUUUUGAUUCAUCAUAGUCACUUGCACAUGUGCAUAGUGCUUAAGUUCUUACUCAAAUACAGUCUUUGAAUCCAUUACUCGGAAAACCAUGUUUAGCCUUGCUGGUUUACUUGCUCUUUAUGUAUAAUUCAUGUUUCUUGGUAGCCAAUGGUCUUCCCAAUGUAUGGUAGGGGUACAAAUGUACCGAGCAGCUCGAGCUCGACUUGACUAUUACCGAGUUCGAGUAGCUCAACUAGUUUUUCGAGUCAAGCUCAAGUAGCAAAAUACUUGACUUAAUAGCUCAUGAGCCUAGACGAGUAUAUAUAUUUUUAAUAAUAUUAUAUUUUAGAGUUUUUUGCAUGGAUACCCUUCUAAAUAUCGGAUUUUGCAUGAAUACUCUUCCAAAAUUGAUAUUUGCGUGUAUACCCUCGUAAAACUCUAUUAUUGUUCAAAUGCCCUUGAUAUAACUGUUGUUUUAAUGAAAUUAAGAAAAAUCAUUUUUAUAUUAAUUAAAAAUAAAAUAAAAUUUUGAAAUUAUACUAUUGUCCCUGUCUUCUUCCUGCUAUCGGGAUCGCGAUCCCGCGACUCAGACAAGAUGGUGCUCAUGGACUGGAGGGACUCGCAUUUGGGCAAUGAGCCUUGCUUGAGGCAUCGGAACGAUAAGCUCCCGACGUUCCUUUAUGCCAUGCCCUUCAACUCUGAUGCUCCCAACCUCUUCCUUGCUUGGACUGGAGUUGCCUUUGUGCACUAGACACGACCUCUUCCUUUAAAAUGCCCCUAACCUUGCUUCCGAAGAAGGGAGAGAAGGGAAGAGUGUUUGAUGGUGGGUUUGAGUGUUCUUUUGGAAGCCCAGAAGAACUUUCAAAGAACACCCAAAUCCUCAGCAAGACCUCCGUUCUCCGAAACUCUUCUCUCUCCUCCAUUCCAUCUCCAAUUCCCCCUCCUCCUAAUUCCUUCCCCACAAGCCCUUUUCUGGAGUUCUGCUACCUUUGCCGCAGAAGACUCCAAGAAGGGAAGGACAUCUAUAUGUACAGGGGUGACAGGGCAUUCUGCAGCGUGGAGUGCCAGUGCAAGCAGAUAUGCAUGGAUGAGGAAAGUGGGAGGAGGGACAACUUUUCCCUCGCCGCUGUAGGGGUCGGAGCGCCGGCGUCACACCAACGGGGGCGGGUGAUGGCCGGGGGCUUCGUGUAUUAAGGCGAGCGGGGAUUGGAGGAGCCCAUGGUUUUGUGAUUUUGGGGUGUGCUAGCUGCUAGCUUAUAGUACAAAUAUCCAAUAUGUUGUAUGUUGGUGGGAGAAGUAGAUUGCUGGAUCGAAAAAAAAAUGAGACAACAUAUUUCUGCUGCUGCGAGCUCUGAUGAUGGUUUUGUUUGGAAGUGGGCGGGAUCUUGGAAGGGACAGAGGCGAUCUCACUUGCGGCUUACGAUUCCAAUUCCACUUGUGGCUAGCGAUUGCGAGUCGCGAACGUCCACGGGAUUGCGAUCGCGAUCCCAAUAGCAGAAAGAAGAUAGGGACAAUAAUGUAAUUUCAAAAUUUUAUUUUAUUUUUAAUUAAUAUAAAAAUAUUUUUUUAA
Molecule: non-coding RNA, 6331 nt
Organism: Phoenix dactylifera (date palm)
Lineage: Eukaryota; Viridiplantae; Streptophyta; Magnoliopsida; Arecales; Arecaceae
Source: RefSeq, a predicted model, not a curated record